This 97-nucleotide small nucleolar RNA is filed under the name Rhodnius prolixus. Its description in RNAcentral is "Small nucleolar RNA snR60/Z15/Z230/Z193/J17". It matches the Rfam family "Small nucleolar RNA snR60/Z15/Z230/Z193/J17". Rfam says of the family: The members of this family belong to the C/D class of snoRNAs which contain the C (UGAUGA) and D (CUGA) box motifs. Lineage: Eukaryota; Metazoa; Arthropoda; Insecta; Hemiptera; Reduviidae. The record is from Rfam by way of RNAcentral.
GAAGUUUAUGUGAUGAGCUUAUAGUUCAUAUGAUUUGUUUAUUAAGCAAAAGUGAACUAAAAGAAAAUAUGUCUUUCGCCCUUAUCUGAUUAGUCUG